CUGUUUGUGUUUGAUGUCUGGGAGUUUCAGAACAACUGAUAACAACUAGUGACUGUUAUGGGAUACUAUGAGGAUCCUUGGUAUCUGGCCUUGCUGACAUUAGGUACUUGCCGACUCCCUGAAUAGCCCCAUUCAAAUCAAUGUAACUGCUCUUGGAGCAAGGUUCUGCUCCGUGUUAAUGAAGAUGUCGGAAUCUGGCCCACAGGGAAUAAAUGUGUUGAGCAAGAAGGGGCUCUUUUAUAACCUCUUUCCUAGAACAUGUUUGGAGGCCUGCGUUUGCAGCUGGUUCCUAUCUCAAAGCUGGGCCAAACCAAGCCCCCCCUUACCAGAAGAUACAAGCGUGCCCAGACUUUUGGAAGUUCAGCUCUGGAUCCAAACGUUAGGUCUGAUCCAAAGUUGAUAGACUCCCGCUGACCUAAACAGGCUCCUGCUGACCUAAACAGUCACUUGGACCGAGUCUCUGUGACUUGGGCCAGUCCUGACACAAGGCGAAACACCAUCCACCAAAACUGCCGGGCUGUCUGGGCCCAUGCUUGUAAGAAUACAGCCACUUUGCUUUUUCUUUUUUUUUUCCUCUUGCUUUUUAAAUUAUUUUUAGGGAAGGGAUUGGUCUCAAGGAGGCAUAAACUCCCUUCUUUUCCAUCCCUGAUUGAGUAUCAAACUCCUCCGCUGAGAUUUCUCCAUGGAGACAUUGGGUUUUCCUGGCAGGCAGGGUUGCAAACUACUCAGCGGAAUGUCUACAGCUCUGCAGCUCCGGAGGAGCCAGGAGGCUGGGCAUCCCAGCCAAGGGAAAUACUGCUCUCGUCCCAAGAACACUUUCAUGGAGACUGAGGUGCAUACUGGAUUAGAAACGGCUAAGCUGGGUUCUUGUUUUUUUUUUUGUUGUUGUUGUUUUCUUUUUCCCCUCGAAAAUCUAAAGCAUGGGGAAGAGAAAUCCACAGACGAGAAAUCUGGGGAUCCUUAUGGAUGUUGCAAAAUGCGGUUUGUUAAUGGAUCUUUUUUACUUCUGGUACUUCUGGCUUGUUGAACACACACGCGCACAUACACACAUACAGAGAAUAACUUGGCAAGCUCGUGUUUUCGUGGCACAGCACCAGGAAAUGGGAGUUCCCCUCCCAACAGAGAAGAUCAGGGCAAUGAGGCAAAGGUGGGGAAUCAGACCCAGCCUGAGUCUCAGCGGAGCUCUGGCCCGGACAACUCUUACACAAAUAAUCUCCGGGAGCUCUGAACCCGUGCUUCAUUGUGGACACAGACAGUGCUGUAGAAAAAACAGACUGAAAUUGCUUCUCUUUCAUGGCAUCUGUAGUGUAAAAACGGUUUUCGUCCAAGACAUUUGUGGUCGGAAAAUCCUGACACCUCAUAAAUUAUCUUAGAGGCGCAACAAAGCUUCAAAAAGAUGAAACUCAAUGCUGAGGUCAGCAGGAAUUUUUUCGCAUCUUCUGCAGUGGAGGAACAUUUUCAGUCUCAGGAAACCACCACAAAAAGAGGCAGCAAGAAGAGAGAAUAUUUCUUGGCACGAGAACCUCAACGCUCAGGGGAGUGCGGCGUCUUAUAUUAUUUAUUUUUGGCCACCUCUGUGUUCACACAUCAUCAGAAUAUGAUCCAAGUGACCAGGGGCAGCCUGAUAGUGAGGUGGCUGCUGUAGUUAGGUGACAAUUCCAGGUCCACCCAAACACUCAGGCUAAUUGCUCCUGCAUAGUGCUGGGGGCUACGUGGGCUGCGAACCUCCCAGGAUCAGCCUGACAACACCUAAUAGGGAAGUUUGGUUUGGGAUAGGGGCGAAGCUCUGCAUAACCACAGUAGGCUUCAGUGUGGGUUUGCAGAGAGCGUGGAGCAGCGUUGCGAGGAAUGGUUUAUGGUCUCGAUCAGCUCAUUACCCACAAACAGACAGUUGGCAUUUUGUAAAGCUGUUUCCCUAUUCCUCUCGACUACAAAUGCAAACCCCACUGCUGGAGCUCUGGCUGUCCCGCUGCGGGAGGCUAAGCAGGCUGCUUAAUCCCUCACACCUUCCCAUGGCUGUAGCUAGUCCGAACAAGGACAACUGCUGGGCAGUUUCCCUUGCUCUCCUCUCGGACAUUUCCUCUUUGCUGUACAGACGACAGCUUCCUUCUUCCAGAUGAGAAGAAAGUGGGAAAAGACUCUUUGAAAGGGGGAUGUCAAACACAAGAACCUCUGCAGGUACCCAGUCAUGAUCCUCUGCAGCACAUUAAAGCCUCUGUUGGUCAAAACAGAGGGAAAACGAUGGUUGAAAGGAGAACAGACGUGGUGUCCAGGAUGACCUGUGGUUCCUGUGUUGUGGCGUGUGGCAGGAAGGACCCAGCCAAAACCAGGACAGUCACAGAGUCUCAUUCAAAGGCCAGGACCCCCCUGUGCUUUGCCAUGUCCCUAAAGAAUGUCCCAGAGAUUUCCAAUCCAACUGGCCAAUACUCUACCCAAGUCAAGAAUGGCUCCCGAGCCCCUUCAGCAGAGGUCUGAUCUUCAGCCUGCUCCUGUCCUGGAGAAGUCAUAAGGUGGCUUGUGUCAUGAAUAGCUCUGCCUAGGGUCAAUUCCAGUCUGAGAAGAUGUCUUAAAGGACAGGAUCAUCACCCACUUGUGAGGGGGACCAGUGUGGCUGCUUAAAUGGUCAAUUCUAGUGUUUGGUUGCACAGUAGCUUCUAGGUACUGGUGUGGGAGAAGCAGCUUCUCAGUGUUGGUAAUGGCUGUACUUGUGGUAAAGAAGGGAUUUCCCUUUCCUUGAGCUUGCAUCCAGGUAAGGCAGGCAGCACAUCGGGUGUCAGCUGGGUGGUUGGCUUUUGGAAGAGAACCAGAGAUGAGUUUGAACAAACGUGAGAACCUGUGAGUGCUGCUUUUGUGUCCAUAGCUACACUCGUCCAUGUGACUUAACUAAUAAGGUUUGAAGAGGCAAAGAUUGUAAGGAACUUGCAGCCUAAUUGCUGCUUUGUGAUGAUGUUUAGCAGUUCACACAGGCCAAAGCACCAAUUUUGGUCAGGAUUAUUUCUUUAAGAGCAGUGUCUGGGACAUCUGUGGCAAAGGCUCUGGUUAUUCUGAAUAGUCCUGAGAAUGAAACCAAGAAAAGUUGGGUCUGCAAAAACUGAGGCAUUUAGCAGUAAAUAUUCCCUAAACCAGUGACCACAUGUCUGAAAAAUGAGAUUUAUGCAAAAUGGGAAGGGAAGUUUCAUAACAACACUCUCUCAUAAAAUAACAACAGUGAUGUAUGCACCCAUGUACACGCACGUUCUUUCCAGAUAAGAUCAAAUAUCCAACACUCCAAAGAUGAAACAUUUUUCUAUUUAUUUUUCUCCUUCUGACUUUGAAAUAUAUUUUUUCUGGGCAGAAAUGCUGCAGAGAAUUCUUUCAGCCACUGCUGGGAGUGAUCUCUCUCCCUUGCCUGUAACAAUGCAUGUACACCAGGCCAUUGCAGCCUGUAACUUCUCUUGCAUAUCCCAGUCCUCCUGCCAUUCAAGUCCUGCUCUCCUUGUUCCAUGCAUCGCCUUCCAGGACUCUGGAAUACGUUUCCUCUAAAUGUUCUGUUGGUGGUGAUUUUAGCAGAUAAGAUAGCGGUAGGUAUGGGAGUGGAGUCAUCAGAGCAAUAGUGGGAACUGUUGGAAGGGAGGAGAUGCAGAAAGGAGAGAGAAAAUAAGGUAAAAAGAUAGAAAUGGAAGGAAGGAAAUGAGGGAAGGGAAAGGUAGAGAUGGAAGAGAAAGAAAAGAUAGAAAAAGCAAGGAUCCCAGAGGACAGAUUCUUCCUCUGAGCCAUGUUAUAUACUGCAUAAAUUACAGUAAAUUGAAAUAUUGUUGAUCUAUAAAGGCUGUAUUGUUCUCUUUUUCUCUUGGCCAACUACUAAUGACGUAAGCAGGAACUCUGCUCUGGGCUGAAGAAGUCUAGAGCCUAGCAAGCAAGCCUGGCGCCCAGACUGGGGCUGGAAGUGGGAUUUGGCCUCUGCUACAGAAAGACUUUGAGGAUUCAGACUCAGAGGAACCCAGGGAAUGUGAGGCUGCUGGGCAAGCUUCAGAUAGGAGCAUUUAGUCAGUGUUUCUUCCACAAAACCCAAUAAAAAUACAUCUUGAAAUCUUUUCCAGGAAGAUGUCAGAACUCUUCUGCAGAGUUAACAUGCCCAGCGCAGAGACCAGCUUAGUCAUUCCAGAAUAAGACAGAGGGGUCUAAGUCCUGCUAGAAGUCCAUAUAUCCUGCAAGUCUGCUACGGGAGGUGCUCCAUGAUGUGUACAAAUCUUUGCAGACUCCAGGAUCCUGGCCAGCUGGAGCAGCGGAGGCUGCCAAGUCCCUCAGGUUGAUGGAGCCAGCAGGCUGCUCCACCUGACUGUCUGGAAGCAUUCUUUUGCUCUCUUGGGAGGUUCCCAGCGCGUCUCCAUUUCCUCCGAAAGAAGGUUCACCCAUGAUUGCCAGCAUCUGUGUCAGGUUUUCUUUCCAUGGGUGCUGAGGCUGCAAAACCCAGAGCCCCGUGGCCCUUCUUUGCACUGUUUUAGCCAUCUCCCAGCUGCACAAGGCCUGAAAAUUUCAAAAAAAUAGCUAAGUAGGCAGAUGAAAAGACACAGGCUCCUGGCUAGUGCUAUAGCUGCUACAUAGGGAUAGAGAUGAUGAUCUCAAGAAUUCUUUGUAUCUUACAGCCUGAUGAGGACAGUAACAACCCCUGGUUUUCUGCUUUUCUAAACGAGGAGAAGAAUCUCUUUGUCAACAGCUGAGAAGAUCCUGAAGAAUACAAGUGUGUGAGGAGGUAACAAGGGGACAGCUGAAGUUUACGUUGUUGUUAAGUUUCUGUGCUAAUCUCAGGAAUGAUAUGCUGAAAAAGUAAAUCCUUUGCAAAUGCUCAUGAAUCUCUGGUAUUUGGGUGCUCUGCAGCAGAGAUGCAAAAACACAAAAAAAAGUUUUACCAGUUGAUCUCACCAUGUGGCUCUCAUCUAGUGCUCUGUUCUGCCUGCUUCUUGCCUGGGAUGGUGUUCAGGACAAGUGGGAUCUUCAGAAGUGCUUCAUAUAGGGGAGAGUAAGAAAAUUCUUCUUUCCCCCUUCUUCCCUGUCUAAGCAGCUUGGACUAACUGCACCUCCCUCUCUGGGUGCCCUUCCCAAGAACAAAUGAAAGUUGUUCCUACCCAACACUUUGAAACUGAGGUAAUGACUUGCACAUCAACAAUGCUGUCAGUUUUGUUAUCUAUCUGUAGUCGUGCCCUGCUGUUGUGCUGCCUAAUGGGUAGCGUGGUCCCUUCCUGUGUUUGAGUCUUGUUUUACACCUCUAAGUCCUAUCCUAAGCAUGUACACAGCAGUGAGGUGCAGCCCCAGAAGUGGAGAGGAGAGCAGAGAAAGGAGAGGUAGAAAAAAGUGCCAGAAACUAGGCCUAGGAAGUUCGGUGAAUGCAUAAGCAAUACGGUUAGUGUGUGCUUCUGAAAUGGGGUGAAAUGUAUAAUAUGUAGCAAAAAGCAGCUUUGCUGGUUCUGGCUGACUUGCACAGUAGGUUUCUUUUAUCCGUUUUUAAUGUGUGAGAUGUUCGCCCUGCUGAGGAACUCUGUCACUUUUUGUUCAGCUUGCUGGAGCUUUUCACACAUAGACAAGAGAUGCAACUCCAUGCGCUUUCUCUCUUCCUUAAUGCAGAGGUUCCCAAACCAUGGCGAAGAUCCCCGACAGCCUUCUUUAUGUCUUUUGGAGCCUGUACACUUUUAUUGUUCAGCUUUGAAUAGAGAGUCUUAGAGAAGAGUUAGUUCUCCAGACUCGCUACAAACUUUUAUAGCUUUACCAACCAUAAUGGGUCAAGGGCGAGGAGUGCUGUUUUGGCCACGAAGGUGCCGAUUUCAAACCAGAAUCUCGUUAUUUUCUCUUUGAUUUUUGAAAAACAAAGAGUUCUGGUGAGGAACUGCAUGUAAAAAAGAGAUGAGGAUUAACGAAGAAGCGAAGAGGAGGUCUUUUUUUGCUUACGUGGAACGGAAGAAAAAAUGAAGCAGCUGCUUGUGGAAACAUGGAAGGUCUCCAGUAUAAUGAAUAAUAAGGAUAAUUUCAGCUAUAUUUUCAGAGAUCGGAACAGUAUUUAUAUGCAAAUACUAUCUCAGAAGGUAGUGGAAAAAUCAGUUUUCCUAACAUUGGCUGGAAAACAGAAUUUGCAGUUCUGGAAGACUUGAGAUUUCUAUAGGAACCAAAUGAGAUGAAGUAGAAAGACUUAACAGAGGUGAUUAAAAAGAGCUUAUUUUGUGCUGAAAGCAAACUUUCUAGCCGAAGGACAUUAAUUACGUAGGGAGCAAAUGGCUUUCUAGCGAGUUUAAAGGUGUCAGCUGCCUGCAGGGGUUAAGCCACAACAAAACCAUGCCAGUAUCUGCCCUUAAUAAUUCUGUGUAAGAAAGCCUUAGAGAGCUGAGCUAGCACAGCCUUGGAGGAACCACAGAUGAUGCACCUGAUCUGGUGUAAAUCAAGCUUACCCUACCUGAAUUUUGGAGUCCUGUUAAUAUUGGAAUGCACACAAAAGAAACCUUACUUCAUAAAUCAAGAAAGAGCCUUCCCCAUUUUCUCUUGUUUUGAAGAAAGGCUGGAGGUCGGUGGUGUGGGCAGAACACUUCAACCACGCUGUCUGAUGUAUGGGAAUUUUAAACAACGGUAAGAAUUAUGGAUGUUAUCUUGCAUUAAGGAUUUGCCUAAUUUUGUGUUUUGUUUUGGUUGUUUUAGCAAUAACAACGUUGUGGUUUCUGUACUCGCCUUCCCAAAGCACAGAGCCAUCACAAACAAGCAAGCUCCUUCCUCUGCAGGGCGAUUUCCGUUUUAUUUUAUUUUAUUAGGGAGCUAAAGAAAAGCUUUGAUCUACACUCCUGCCUGAUAUCUAAUGAGGCAUUUUCAUCAAACUCUGCUCCUGACCGAACUCAUGUUAAUCUCAGCAAGAUUCACAUAGACAGAUAUUCUUGUGUUUCUGGAUAGUGGAAUGGGAUCUUGUAAUUCCACCUUGCUGGUAUGAGCUCCAUGGACACCACUGCAGGGACAGAGACCUUUCUGUAGAAAAUUCAUCGCAGGUUUGGAGCAUAAGGGCAAGUAUAUUUCGCCUUAAUUAAUGUAUGAUUAAAUCUUACUUAUAUGUGUUGGUCCUUCUCCCACUGAAGCUGAUGGCAAAUCUCCUGUGGAGUUCAGCAAAGUGGGGUGGAAUCUAUACAGAAAUUGUUUUUCCCAGAACAACUUCGCAAUAACCAGUGGGUUUGCAAACUCCUCACUCUGACACAUUGAAACAAUUUGGGACUUUCAUUCCAUUUUGCUUUAAUUGGACUUACACUGCAUCUAAGUCUUCCUAAGUGGGUUGCUCUGCCUAAAAUAUGUGCAGGCAUGUUUGCACUCUCUGAGGGAACGUGGUGGUUAAACUAGAAGGCGAGGUUAUGUUAGCAAGGAUAUUUUCUUUUUAUACUGCUUCCAAAGGCAACCCUGUUUUGGGCUCACCACUCUGGCUUGACCGCUCUGUGCCUCUCCAUCCCAAAUCAUGCUGGGAUUUGAUGAUAAAGCACAUCCUCUUUCCAGGAGCCAAGCCAACCCCUACAUCCUAACUCACUGGUGUUCUGGUACCUUAGGCACUUUGUGGUCAGAAGGCAGACUGCGAAUGUGGGUAUUAGCCGUGGUGAUGCUGGAAUGUCCAAACCCUCUGUAGGAAGAGAGGUUUCUUACAGAGCUGUUGUUGCCCAGUUGAUUGUCAGUUCCUUUGUUUUUAUGUUUCUCAGACUGUGCCAGCCGAGAUAGCUCUUAGCUGGAUCCCAGCACUUACACGGCCUGCUUUGGUUCACAUAUUCCAUAAAAGUUUUCCAUCUCUAACCAAGGAAUUUCAGAUCAGGGUAAAAAUGUGAGUAAAUCAGAGCUGGCAUCUGUCCCAGACAUAUCAAUUCCCUUAAUUCCCUUUUUCCUGUGGCUUUGGGACAAUCAAAAUAGGGAAUGUUUCCAUUGCUAUACCUUCAUGAAAGUACAAUAUGUGAAUGCUAUAUCCUGAGUGCAUCUAGUGUGUUUCCUUACCUUGGUCGUUACCAACUGCACAGCUUUCUCUGGCAAUUAUGUGAAACGGAGCACUGCAAUAGAGUAAAUCUUUUGGCAGGGCUUGGCUCCAGGGAAGAUCAAAACCUCCAACGUGACAGUUAAUGAAACAAGGAGAAAGAAGAGGGAAACUAUCAGUCCCAGCCUGCCAACACUAACAGAGUCCGAAGGCAGCUGGAGGUGCCAAGGUGUCUGCUUGCAAGGUUGGGAGAGGGUUGGAGGGGCUGUACAGAGGGCUGCACCAAGGCAGGUUUUGCUCCACUUUGGGUGACUGAGGAGCAGUGGAGACAAGUCAUCCCAUCCAAGGAUGGUUGGGUGCAGGUGUUGGUUGCAUACUGUCUUUUUUUUAAGAUAAAGAACAAGCCGACAUUAUUCUGCAUCCCUUGGGCAGUGGUACUUUAUCCGGGAGCUGGCUGGAGUAGACAGGAGCAUGGCAUGGAUCCGGGGAUAUCAUCUGAGUGCAAGGACAGCACGAAGAGAGCAACAGAGAGCACCUGGAGAGACGACCAGUGGCCUUCAACGGGUAACUUAAAGGAGUUAAAGACAAAAUGUGGCAGCCUGCUGCAUCACCAGCCAUAAAGCGGAGCAGAGAGCAAGGGCCUCCAAUAAUGAGCCUUUUUAUCUCUAAAGCAGUGUUUUGCAGGCUGUGAUCCGUGGGCCUUCAGUGGUCCGUAAAACAUCCAGUGGUGGCUCAUGAAACAAUAGUGAACCCUCUCUCCUCCCCUCCAGUGGCCGCAGAAACAAGCACACAACUAAAUGGGAGAAAAUAAAAGCUACUAUAGAUUAACUUUCAAA
This is an RNA transcript of Anas platyrhynchos (mallard), 8787 nucleotides long. It is a transcript of the gene named N-terminal Xaa-Pro-Lys N-methyltransferase 2, with no coding region annotated. The record is from RefSeq and is a predicted model, not a curated record. Lineage: Eukaryota; Metazoa; Chordata; Aves; Anseriformes; Anatidae.